This 253-nucleotide ribosomal RNA is filed under the name uncultured bacterium. RNAcentral describes it as "partial 16S ribosomal RNA". It matches the Rfam family "Bacterial small subunit ribosomal RNA", at positions 524 to 776 of the family's 1533-position model. The record is from RNAcentral.
UACGUAGGGUGCGAGUGUUAAUCGGAAUUACUGGGCGUAAAGCGUGCGCAGGCGGUUUUGUAAGCCAGAUGUGAAAUCCCCGGGCUUAACCUGGGAAUGGCAUUUGGGACUGCAAGGCUUGAGUGCGGCAGAGGAGACUGGAAUUCCUGGUGUAGCAGUGAAAUGCGUAGAUAUCAGGAGGAACACCGAUGGCGAAGGCAGGUCUCUGGGCUGACACUGACGCUCAUGCACGAAAGCGUGGGGAGCAAACAGG